RNAcentral lists this ribosomal RNA (579 nucleotides) under Leptodactylus colombiensis. RNAcentral's name for it is "partial 16S ribosomal RNA". It matches the Rfam family "Bacterial large subunit ribosomal RNA", at positions 1816 to 2598 of the family's 2925-position model. The record is from RNAcentral. Lineage: Eukaryota; Metazoa; Chordata; Amphibia; Anura; Leptodactylidae.
CGCCUCUUGAAAAACCCAUAAGAGGUCCAGCCUGCCCAGUGACUCUGUUCAACGGCCGCGGUAUCCUAACCGUGCGAAGGUAGCGUAAUCACUUGUUCUUUAAAUGAGGACUAGUAUGAAUGGCACCACGAAGGUUAUACUGUCUCCUUCCUCUAAUCAGUGAAACUAAUCUCCCCGUGAAGAAGCGGGGAUAAACCUAUAAGACGAGAAGACCCUAUGGAGCUUUAAACACAGUAAUAAAUGCCCCCCCCCCUUUUUUCUAUCCAAAUCUCCGGAAAACUACUUUAUCUGAGCAUCCUAAUUACAAGUUUUAGGUUGGGGUGACCGCGGAGUAAAAAAUAACCUCCACAGUGAAUGGGAUCUCUCCCUAAACUCAGGGCCACAGCCCUAAAAAUCAAUAAAUUGACACCCAUUGACCCAAUAUUUUUGAUCAAUGAACCAAGUUACCCUAGGGAUAACAGCGCAAUCCACUUCAAGAGCUCCUAUCGACAAGUGGGUUUACGACCUCGAUGUUGGAUCAGGGUACCCCAGUGGUGCAGCCGCUGCUAAAGGUUCGUUUGUUCAACGAUUAAAACCCUA